GUCAGUGGAAGAAAAUCCUCUCAUUUUUUCCCUUUUACCUAGGGUUUUCAAAACCUUUGGUUAUGCCACUUUCUUGGUUUCUUUUACUCCACCAGAGAGGAGAGGUCUUACUCCUCUAAUCCAGCUAUAGGUUUCCUUCCCAUCGUUGGGAUGAGUUAUGGAUUUUUUAUUUUUUUUUUUAUUUUGUUUAACGUUAGUGCUUAACUUUAAGACAUUGGUUUAAUGUUAUUUUGUCUAUUUCUUGGGUUUAGCUUCUUUUCUUUCAGCUGGUGCUCCUUUUUUUAUCCGGCUAGAUGGAGGUAGCUCGUGGGAUCAAAAUGGUUUCAGAAGGCACAAGUGAGUUACCAAUUAUAGUUGUACCGCCUCCAUUUUCUGACUUCAUUUGAGUUGGUCUGUGUUUCUCACCAUGAUUUGUUAUUCUCCAGGUUUUAGGAUCUGCUUCAACAUUUUAGACCGAGAGUUGUCUAAUUGUGCUUUUGAGUUGUAGAUUCUACCUUUGCAUGUAGGCUUUGAGGUUCCCUGUUCUCAUACUAGUUGAUCUAUGAAGCUGAAGUGCAGUAAUUCUUCUCUGUCUUAGAUGAUGUGCUUUGAUAGCUUUUUCUUUUUUUUUCAUCUGGUUUUUUUCUAGUAUUGGGUCUUUUUUUCAUUAUCAGAAUUAUAGUCGGCAAUUUGGAAGGUGUUAUCUUGUAUUUCUAUAAGAAAUUUCCAGAUCAUGAACCCAUUUUUGUAUUAGUAAUCCAAUAAAAAAAUUUUGAUAAAUGAUUUAUCAAUGAUUGGUAAAUUUUU
This 786-nucleotide long non-coding RNA is filed under the name Manihot esculenta (cassava). RNAcentral's name for it is "long non-coding RNA (MESC_LNC001785)". Lineage: Eukaryota; Viridiplantae; Streptophyta; Magnoliopsida; Malpighiales; Euphorbiaceae. The record is from RNAcentral.